This 253-nucleotide ribosomal RNA is filed under the name uncultured bacterium. RNAcentral's name for it is "partial 16S ribosomal RNA". It matches the Rfam family "Bacterial small subunit ribosomal RNA", at positions 524 to 776 of the family's 1533-position model. The record is from RNAcentral.
GACGAACGGUGCAAACGUUGUUCGGAAUCACUGGGCUUAAAGGGCGCGUAGGCGGCUUGCCAAGUCAGGGGUGAAAUCUUUCGGCUCAACCGGAAAAGUGCCUCUGAUACUGGCGAGCUAGAGGGAGGUAGGGGCAUGUGGAACUUCCGGUGGAGCGGUGAAAUGCGUUGAUAUCGGAAGGAACGCCGGUGGCGAAAGCGACGUGCUGGACCUCUUCUGACGCUGAGGCGCGAAAGCUAGGGUAGCGAACGGG